This 477-nucleotide long non-coding RNA is filed under the name Setaria italica (foxtail millet). RNAcentral describes it as "long non-coding RNA (SITA_LNC002443)". The record is from RNAcentral. Lineage: Eukaryota; Viridiplantae; Streptophyta; Magnoliopsida; Poales; Poaceae.
CGGGUGCGCACCGGGGGCCGCAGGCGGGCCCAUCUGACGCGUGCCCCACCGCACCGCCUCAGGCGGCUGCGGCUGCCCCGCCGCGGAAGGUGCCGUGGGCUGCGGCGCGCCAGCCGGUGCUGCGGGCGGCGCGCCGGCCGGUGCUGCGGGCGCCGUGGCGGCAGUGUCGUGCUUGCCGUCCUUGCCCUCCAUGGUCGACGAUGGUGACACGGGAGGAGCUAGCAAAGCAAGAGGAGCAGGUGGUGGGAGUGGGACGGUGUGGAUAGAGCUCGGUGGAAAUGGAUGGAAAGCGCGAGACGAAGACGACUACCGGAUUCGAUCGGCUUGAUGACGGCGAGGUGGCGGCGAGGGAGGCUAGUUUUUAUACUAGUAGCUGGCUGGGUUGGGCGGUGGCGUGUCGGCGAGGGAGCAGAAUUCCGGCACGGAAGGGCGGCGCGGGCGGGCUGGUUCGUUCGUUCCAGACGCUGUGCUAAGGGA